Molecule: non-coding RNA, 72 nt
Organism: Pelobates cultripes (western spadefoot toad)
Lineage: Eukaryota; Metazoa; Chordata; Amphibia; Anura; Pelobatidae
Source: the annotation of a GenBank genome assembly
CUUCAGGGUACUCCUGGCACCAUAACCACUCCAGAGUUCUGUAGUGGUUAAGGUGCUCGGAGUGUUGCUUUA